This 484-nucleotide ribosomal RNA is filed under the name uncultured bacterium. RNAcentral describes it as "partial 16S ribosomal RNA". It matches the Rfam family "Bacterial small subunit ribosomal RNA", at positions 29 to 507 of the family's 1533-position model. The record is from RNAcentral.
AUUGAACGCUGGCGGCAUGCUUUACACAUGCAAGUCGAACGGCAGCGCGGGCUUCGGCCUGGCGGCGAGUGGCGAACGGGUGAGUAAUGCAUCGGAACGUGCCCAGUAGUGGGGGAUAGCCCGGCGAAAGCCGGAUUAAUACCGCAUACGACCUGAGGGUGAAAGCGGGGGACCGAAAGGCCUCGCGCUAUUGGAGCGGCCGAUGUCGGAUUAGCUAGUUGGUGGGGUAAAGGCUUACCAAGGCGACGAUCCGUAGCUGGUCUGAGAGGACGACCAGCCACACUGGGACUGAGACAGGGCCCAGACUCCUACGGGAGGCAGCAGUGGGGAAUUUUGGACAAUGGGGGCAACCCGGAUCCAGCCAUGCCGCGUGCGGGAAGAAGGACUUCGGGUUGUAAACCGCUUUUGUUCGGGAAGAAAUCCUCUGGGCUAAUACCCCGGGGGGAUGACGGUACCGGAAGAAUAAGCACCGGCUAACUACGUG